This 497-nucleotide ribosomal RNA is filed under the name uncultured bacterium. RNAcentral's name for it is "partial 16S ribosomal RNA". It matches the Rfam family "Bacterial small subunit ribosomal RNA", at positions 28 to 507 of the family's 1533-position model. The record is from RNAcentral.
GAUGAACGCUGGCGGCGUGCCUAAUACAUGCCAGUCGAGCGAACAGACGAGGAGCUUGCUCCUCUGACGUUAGCGGCGGACGGGUGAGUAACACGUGGACAACCUACCUAUAAGACUGGGAUAACUUCGGGAAACCGGAGCUAAUACCGGAUAAUAUAUUGAACCGCAUGGUUCAAUAGUGAAAGACGGUUUUGCUGUCACUUAUAGAUGGAUCCGCGCCGCAUUAGCUAGUUGGUAAGGUAACGGCUUACCAAGGCAACGAUGCGUAGCCGACCUGAGAGGGUGAUCGGCCACACUGGAACUGAGACACGGUCCAGACUCCUACGGGAGGCAGCAGUAGGGAAUCUUCCGCAAUGGGCGAAAGCUUGACGGAGCAACGCCGCGUGAGUGAUGAAGGUCUUCGGAUCGUAAAACUCUGUUAUUAGGGAAGAACAAAUGUGUAAGUAACUAUGCACGUCUUGACGGUACCUAAUCAGAAAGCCACGGCUAACUACGUG